Molecule: non-coding RNA, 107 nt
Organism: Gossypium hirsutum (cotton)
Lineage: Eukaryota; Viridiplantae; Streptophyta; Magnoliopsida; Malvales; Malvaceae
Source: Rfam
AAUCCAUGCAUUGGACAUUUCCGAAUUAAGUCUUUAGAUCGUUCCCAAGUUUCAUAUAGUGUUUCAUCCUCUAAUUUCCAAAAGGAUGUUAUGUCAUUUCUAAGCUU